Molecule: long non-coding RNA, 308 nt
Filed under: Bos taurus (domestic cattle)
Lineage: Eukaryota; Metazoa; Chordata; Mammalia; Artiodactyla; Bovidae
Description: long non-coding RNA NONBTAT008985
Source: RNAcentral
GGUGGGGUGGAUUUGCCUUUAUUUAGGGCUGGUCAACUUUUCCUAAUCGAGGACACACAAGGUCAUUGGUGAGGUGAUAAUACAGGGGUCAUGAUGACCAUCCGUCAGGAACCAGUAGAAGUGUCCUGAAAGGGCUCGGAAUUGUUUGACGCUGGAAUGAUUUUGUUACCGCACUAACUUUGGGGUAUAAUGAGUGGUUUUCACGGGGACGUGAUCUGUUGCUGACGUGUAAGUAACAGACGUGUUACUGACUCGUCCUUACGCAGGUCCCCCGUCUCCCGCCAUCGCACAGGCUCCUUCUGCACCCG